This 211-nucleotide unclassified non-coding RNA is filed under the name uncultured fungus. Its description in RNAcentral is "partial contains 18S rRNA, ITS1 and 5.8S rRNA". Lineage: Eukaryota; Fungi. The record is from RNAcentral.
AGGUGAACCUGCGGAGGGAUCAUUACAAGUGACCCCGGUCUAACCACCGGGAUGUUCAUAACCCUUUGUUGUCCGACUCUGUUGCCUCCGGGGCGACCCUGCCUUCGGGCGGGGGCUCCGGGUGGACACUUCAAACUCUUGCGUAACUUUGCAGUCUGAGUAAACUUAAUUAAUAAAUUAAAACUUUUAACAACGGAUCUCUUGGUUCUGG